RNAcentral lists this ribosomal RNA (517 nucleotides) under unidentified nematode. RNAcentral's name for it is "LSU rRNA". It matches the Rfam family "Eukaryotic large subunit ribosomal RNA", at positions 275 to 625 of the family's 3401-position model. Lineage: Eukaryota; Metazoa; Nematoda. The record is from RNAcentral.
UGAGAUUGCAGCCCAAAGAGGGUGGUAAACCUCAUCUAAGGCUAAAUACGACCAUGAGACCGAUAGCAAACAAGUACCGUGAGGGAAAGUUGCAAAGAACUUUGAAGAGAGAGUUCAAGAGGGCGUGAAACCGCUGAGAUGGAAACGGAUAGAGUUAACGAAACUUAUCGGUAUUCAACCGAUCAAUUUAGCAUGUCUUUAUAAAAUUAUUAUUCAUGAAUAAUGAGUAAAAUUUUAUUAAAGAUUUCAGUGCUAGAUUUAUCAAUGAUUGGUGUAUUUACCGAUAGUAUGCAUCGAGAGCUUCGUUUUGCAAGCAUAUUGAAGCAAAUUUUUAGUGGACCAAUUAUUUUUAUAAAUAAUUGGAAUCCUAAAAAUUAGUUCAUCAAUAUGUCUUAAAUGAAGUUAUUUUUCCCAAAUGUGUAACUUUCACUUGAAAAAUUAGUGACAUGCAUCGAUUAUAAUUUUUAUUAUAUAUAUUUAACAUGUAGUCGCAUGCGACUUUAAUUGUUAAUAUAUG